CAAGGUGCUAACUCUCUUUCAAAUCUCCACUUCACUGAUUCGGAUCUGAUCUUCUUCUUCGACUGUCAUAAAAGAAGAUCUGAGGAUCUACGCAUGAACUACCGUCACAUAGUACUGGAGGAACGUAGAGAGACAAUGGAGAACUCCUUCUCCUUUCUGUUUCUCUUCUUUUAUGAUCUCUCCCUCUCUGAUUUCUCUCUCUAUGUGGCCGACCGAAAGGGGGGUUUUGGCAUGUGGAUGAUGGAAGGAGAAGGGGCCGGCCC
RNAcentral lists this long non-coding RNA (263 nucleotides) under Elaeis guineensis (African oil palm). RNAcentral's name for it is "long non-coding RNA (EGUI_LNC033805)". The record is from RNAcentral. Lineage: Eukaryota; Viridiplantae; Streptophyta; Magnoliopsida; Arecales; Arecaceae.